CCUGAGAAAUCCAAAAGUUCGAAUGGAGAGAUUCAGCGUCAGUGGCCUCUGUUGGCUUGCUUGCGACGCGCGAUGCUCUCGCGUCCCGCGGUACCCUCGGGUACGCUGCGGGCUCGCGUGGGGCACGCCGUCGCCGAGUCAUGUCCAACGUCGCCGGCGUGCACUUCUCUCCUAGUAGGACGUCGCGACCCGCUGGGUGUCGGUCAUUUACGGCCCGUACGGUAGACCGUUGCGCCCAGUGCGCUCCGGACCCGCGGUGCACUGCCCCGACCGACUGCCCGGCGGUAUUGAAAGCACCUUUGAAUCACGAUUGGUAUCGAGCCGCGGAAAAUCGCGCGCGCGUCCGAUCGGUUUUACGACCGGUCGGCGCGCGUCGGUUGGACGCGUUUACGGCUUGCCGGUUGAUCGGAUCUCGCUUGGCAAAUUAUACGGACCUCGUGCCGUUGUCGGGCGUUUGAUUCGGUUUUAAUCGCGUCAAUGUCCUCGAACUGGCUCUCACCGGUCAGCGACGCUUUUGCUUUGGAUACUUUCAGG
This 534-nucleotide ribosomal RNA is filed under the name Copidosoma nr. noyesi 2 YZZ-2014. RNAcentral's name for it is "partial 28S ribosomal RNA". The record is from RNAcentral. Lineage: Eukaryota; Metazoa; Arthropoda; Insecta; Hymenoptera; Encyrtidae.